CUCGUUGCUCUUUUCCCUGAUAUGGACAAACAGAUUCUUGAGAGAGCACUCGAAGAAUGUGGCGAUGAUUUAGAUUCAGCUAUCAGAAGUUUGACUGAGCUCCGUUUGGGUUCUGCUGAUAACAACUUGGGCUCUAAUGUAGUUAGAUCUGAUGUUGUCCUUGAGUCUAAUGUUCAACAACAAGGCGGAUCAACUACUAAUACAAAAGCUUCACCAGCUGAUGACCCAUCAGCUCCUACAGAACUUCCAAUGGAUGGGGCAGAGUGGGUAGAGCUAUUUGUUAGGGAAAUGAUGAGUGCCUCCAACAUGGAUGAUGCUAGAGCUCGUGCUUCAAGAGCACUGGAAGUUCUGGAGAAGUCUAUCUGUGCUCGUGCUGGAGCAGAGGCAGCCAAAAGUUUUCAACAGGAAAAUAUGAUGUUGAAGGAACAAGUGCAAGCACUUAUUCAAGAAAAUGCAAUUCUCAAGCGAGCUGUAUCUAUUCAGCAUGAGCGUCAAAAAGAGUUUGGAGAUAGGAACCAGGAGUUGCAGCAUCUGAAGCAAUUAGUGUCCCAAUACCAGGAGCAGUUGAGAGCCUUGGAGGCUGAACAACUAUGCAUUGACAAUGCACUUGAAGCAGGCUCAACAAAGCAACUCAAUCCCUGGCCGUUUCCACCCAGAUGUCUUCUAGCGAAAACCAUUGUCUAUUAUGGAAUAUGAAAAGAUCCCAUUACACUGCGAGUAUUUGCAUUCAUUUGGUGCUUGACUGCAAACGUGGAUUAUGUGAACCAAUGGCAAGCUGCAG
RNAcentral lists this unclassified non-coding RNA (781 nucleotides) under Hevea brasiliensis (rubber tree). The record is from RNAcentral. Lineage: Eukaryota; Viridiplantae; Streptophyta; Magnoliopsida; Malpighiales; Euphorbiaceae.